GGGCCAUUAGCUCAGUCGGCUAGAGCGCUUCGUUCACACCGAAGAGGUCACUGGUUCGAGUCCAGUAUGGCCCACCC
This 77-nucleotide transfer RNA is filed under the name Marinactinospora thermotolerans DSM 45154. RNAcentral describes it as "tRNA_Val_CAC". It matches the Rfam family "tRNA". Rfam says of the family: Transfer RNA (tRNA) molecules are approximately 80 nucleotides in length. Their secondary structure includes four short double-helical elements and three loops (D, anti-codon, and T loops). Further hydrogen bonds mediate the characteristic L-shaped molecular structure. tRNAs have two regions of fundamental functional importance: the anti-codon, which is responsible for specific mRNA codon recognition, and the 3' end, to which the tRNAs corresponding amino acid is attached (by aminoacyl-tRNA synthetases). tRNAs cope with the degeneracy of the genetic code in two manners: having more than one tRNA (with a specific anti-codon) for a particular amino acid; and 'wobble' base-pairing, i.e. permitting non-standard base-pairing at the 3rd anti-codon position. The record is from RNAcentral. Lineage: Bacteria; Bacillati; Actinomycetota; Actinomycetes; Streptosporangiales; Nocardiopsidaceae.